AGCCAACUCUGCUAACUGAAACAUUCAGGCGAACAUCACCAGGACCUCCUCGUUCAAGGAAAAGGCUUCCCAUAUGUCAGGAGCUUGACAGACUAUAACAGCUGUAAACAUUACAGGAAUAUUCAACCCGACCAACAUAUUUCAAUGACACAUCAUUCAGCUUUGAGGAGCAAUUAGCACAAAUCUGCAAACACAGGACAGGAGAACAAUGGACCUUUGGAGUGAAUCAACAGGCCUGUGCUAAUUACGGUUAGCAGGACAGACUCCUCUCUCCCACUGCGACGGGCUUCAAGGUCCCUCCGGAGCUGCAACACACCGGAUGGUCUGCCAGCAGCCACAGGUGCAAAGCACUCAGUGCCAAUGUUAAAAACAGAACAUAACACAUGCACACACACAAACACAGGGUCUGACAAACGCACAAAACCAGGGACCAAUACUCUCUCUGUCAUGUUGUGGUCAUCUCAUGCAGGUGGCCCCAUCACACAGCACUUUUUUUCAUUACGUAUUUGCCAGGAGUUAAAGUGCUGUUAACCCCUUUUCACCCAACUGUAAGCACCUGAGAGAGGAGUGUGUCAAAAACUU
Molecule: long non-coding RNA, 582 nt
Organism: Notolabrus celidotus (New Zealand spotty)
Lineage: Eukaryota; Metazoa; Chordata; Actinopteri; Labriformes; Labridae
Exons: 3
Source: RefSeq, a predicted model, not a curated record